AAACAAGCGGCAAAUAAGUCGCCCUGUGUGGGGAAUUGAAACAUUACUCCCACUUGAUCAUAGUCAUGCAUUUCAAUUUCAUCACGACCAACCAAAUCAACUUCCAAUUACAAAUCCAAUUAUCAGGUCAUCCUUGCAAAUCGAACUCCAUGAGUUGCAAAUAGAAUGUUGUUAUGUUGUUAGGUUAUUCUUUUUCUCUUGAUUGGCAUUUUAAUUAGUGAGUCACAGUGGGAGUAGAGGAAUUUAACAGUUAAAUAUUGAACACUACAAAAGGAUUGGAAACAGAAUUAACUGCUGUUUAACAGAACAGACUAAAUUGUUCAGUUCAUGGUGCUAGAAUUAAAUGUUGAACACCACUGUAGUUACAGCUGUAUCAGUUCCAUUUGUUAGAAACCAAAUAAAUGGAUUUAAGUUGGGAGUUAGUAGAUGCACAACUGCAUCAGCUGAAGUCCUUUACAUUCAGCAGUAGCUUCAGUUCGAUUUCACGAGUUUUACUACUCUCCUCCUCGCACAUUCAGAAAAAAGGAAAUAUAAUGAUACGAUGAACACCAUGAGAAUUCCACUUGCAUCAGCUCCAUUCUUUAACUCCAGUAAAACUGUGAUCCAAAACAGCACAACUGGUGCAGAAACAGUACUACUGGUGCAUAAGCUUCAUUCAUUCUUUUAAUCACUAGUUGCUCAAAUCCACUAACCUAAUUAUCUAAUUACACAUGUUCCAUACUUCUUAAAUCUAAAAGCCUUUAUUUCUGCCAUAGAAUGCAUAUAGCUUGUCACAGUGUAGUCAUCAAUCAUCAACAUUAUCCUCAUCACUCAAACCUCAUGCAUCCAAGAUUCUAGUUAACACGUGCACUUCAACAAAAAGUACAGAGCAAACAUCCAUUCAUCCACUACACUCACUUCAUUUAUAUAACUAACUCCUACACAUUAAAAUUAACUACAAAGCAUAGAGCUAUGAUUAUAACUUCACACCUCCACUUGCAAGGCACAGCAUACAAAUAAGGAAAAAGUUUAUAUAGAGCCGAGGCUCUAAACAAUCAAAUUAGAGUCCACCUCAAAAAUUUCACUAGGAGACGAUGAUUUGAUGCCCAAAUCUCCUCAAAUUGAUCCAUCUCGAUAUCAAGAUGCAUGGACAUGUGAAAAAAUUGGAUUUCAAGUUUUGGGAAUAGUGUAUCUUGUAACGCAUUUAUGGACCGUCAGUUUUCGAGAUUUUCCAGUUUUCAUAGAUAUGCUUGAUCUACACUAUUUUUGAAGCUUUAAAUUUUAUAAUUAAAUAUGAGGAUAUAUUUUAAGGUUGUCACAAAGAUUUCC
RNAcentral lists this long non-coding RNA (1308 nucleotides) under Amborella trichopoda. RNAcentral's name for it is "long non-coding RNA (ATRI_LNC001362)". Lineage: Eukaryota; Viridiplantae; Streptophyta; Magnoliopsida; Amborellales; Amborellaceae. The record is from RNAcentral.